ACUUCGGUAAUGACGUUGGGGCAGCGAGCGGCGGAUGGGUGAGUAACGCGUGGGGAACCUGCCCCUAAGUCUGGGAUACCAUUUGGAAACAGGUGCUAAUACCGGAUAAUAAAGCGGAUCGCAUGAUCAGCUUUUGAAAGGCGGCGUAAGCUGUCGCUAAGGGAUGGCCCCGCGGUGCAUUAGCUAGUUGGUAAGGUAACGGCUUACCAAGGCGACGAUGCAUAGCCGAGUUGAGAGACUGAUCGGCCACAUUGGGACUGAGACACGGCCCAAACUCCUACGGGAGGCAGCAGUAGGGAAUCUUCCACAAUGGACGCAAGUCUGAUGGAGCAACGCCGCGUGAGUGAGGAAGGUUUUCGGAUCGUAAAGCUCUGUUGUUGGUGAAGAAGGAUAGAGGUAGUAACUGGCCUUUAUUUGACGGUAAUCAACCAGAAAGUCACGGCUAACUACGUGCCAGCAGCCGCGGUAAUACGUAGGUGGCAAGCGUUGUCCGGAUUUAUUGGGCGUAAAGCGAGCGCAGGCGGAAAAAUAAGUCUAAUGUGAAAGCCCUCGGCUUAACCGAGGAACUGCAUCGGAAACUGUUUUUCUUGAGUGCAGAAGAGGAGAGUGGAACUCCAUGUGUAGCGGUGGAAUGCGUAGAUAUAUGGAAGAACACCAGUGGCGAAGGCGGCUCUCUGGUCUGCAACUGACGCUGAGGCUCGAAAGCAUGGGUAGCGAACAGGAUUAGAUACCCUGGUAGUCCAUGCCGUAAACGAUGAGUGCUAAGUGUUGGGA
RNAcentral lists this ribosomal RNA (774 nucleotides) under uncultured bacterium. Its description in RNAcentral is "bacterial SSU rRNA". It matches the Rfam family "Bacterial small subunit ribosomal RNA", at positions 73 to 828 of the family's 1533-position model. The record is from RNAcentral.